Molecule: unclassified non-coding RNA, 283 nt
Filed under: uncultured Herpotrichiellaceae
Lineage: Eukaryota; Fungi; Ascomycota; Eurotiomycetes; Chaetothyriales; Herpotrichiellaceae
Description: sequence contains 5.8S rRNA gene
Rfam family: 5.8S ribosomal RNA (bases 1-53)
Source: RNAcentral
GAACGCACAUUGCGCCCCUUGGUAUCCCGAGGGGCAUGCCUGUUCGAGCGUCAUUUCACCACUCAAGCCUGGCUUGGUGUUGGACGGUUUGGUGGAGGCCCCCUCGGGGGCUCCUGCCCCUCCCAAAGACAAUGACGGCGGCCUCGUUGGACCCCCGGUACACUGAGUUCUUCACGGGACACGUAUCGGACACAUGGGUUUACGGGACACGGUCUGCCUCCCCUCAGGGAGAAUCUUUCUAAGGUUGACCUCGGAUCAGGUAGGGAUACCCGCUGAACUUAAG